This 103-nucleotide microRNA precursor is filed under the name Marmota monax (woodchuck). Lineage: Eukaryota; Metazoa; Chordata; Mammalia; Rodentia; Sciuridae. The record is from RNAcentral.
AGAGGGAUAGCUGGGUCAAAUGGUGGUUCUAUCCCAAGUUUUCUGAGGAAUAUCCAUACUGCUUUCCAUAUUGGCUGCAUCAUUUUGCAGUCCCACCAGCAAU